GAAUGUGAGGGUGAUCUGGCUACGACAUCUGUCACCCCAUUGAUCCUCAGGGUUAAUUUGGCGGAUCGAGUUGGGUAGGUGAGUGUCCCCUUCCUCCCUCACUGCUCAUGUGCAUUCCUCCCAAAGCUGCAUGCUGGGUUGAAAAGGAUGAGCAUCUCCCAUAGAGGAGUAGCAGCACUUCCCUGCUAGAACCUCCAAACAAACUCUCAAGAAUCAAGAUAAGCUGUUGAAUUUAUUAUGUAAUUUGUUUCUUCAAACUAUGGAACAUGUUUAUAAAUU
Molecule: unclassified non-coding RNA, 279 nt
Organism: Dipodomys ordii (Ord's kangaroo rat)
Lineage: Eukaryota; Metazoa; Chordata; Mammalia; Rodentia; Heteromyidae
Gene: 7SK
Rfam family: 7SK RNA
About the family: 7SK was discovered as an abundant small nuclear RNA in the mid-70s but a possible function has only recently been suggested. Two independent studies have found that 7SK RNA binds the CDK9/cyclin T complex (known as elongation factor P-TEFb).
Source: Ensembl